AGAGCGAACGCUGGCGGCAGGCUUAACACAUGCAAGUCGAGCGCGCGUAGCAAUACGUCAGCGGCAGACGGGUGAGUAACGCGUGGGAACAUACCUUUUGGUUCGGAACAACACAGGGAAACUUGUGCUAAUACCGGAUAAGCCCUUACGGGGAAAGAUUUAUCGCCGAAAGAUUGGCCCGCGUCUGAUUAGCUAGUUGGUGAGGUAAUGGCUCACCAAGGCGACGAUCAGUAGCUGGUCUGAGAGGAUGAUCAGCCACAUUGGGACUGAGACACGGCCCAAACUCCUACGGGAGGCAGCAGUGGGGAAUAUUGGACAAUGGGCGCAAGCCUGAUCCAGCCAUGCCGCGUGAGUGAUGAAGGCCCUAGGGUUGUAAAGCUCUUUUGUGCGGGAAGAUAAUGACGGUACCGCAAGAAUAAGCCCGGCUAACUUCGCGCCAGCAGCCGC
Molecule: ribosomal RNA, 447 nt
Filed under: uncultured bacterium
Lineage: Bacteria
Description: SSU rRNA
Rfam family: Bacterial small subunit ribosomal RNA
Source: RNAcentral